UACCCAGACUCCUACGGGAGGCAGCAGUGGGGGAUAUUGCACAAUGGGGGGAACCCUGAUGCAGCGACGCCGCGUGGGUGGAGGAGCGUUUCGGCGCGUAAAGCCCUAUCGGCAGGGAAGAAGGAGGACGGUACCUGACUAAGAAGCCCCGGCUAACUACGUGCCAGCAGCCGCGGGAAUACGUAGGGGGCAAGCGUUAUCCGGAUUUACUGGGUGUAAAGGGGGCGCAGACGGCAGCGCAAGCCGGCGGUCAAAUCGCGGGGCUCAACCCCGCCCAGCCGUCGGAACUGCCGGGCUAGAGUGGGCGAGAAGUGCGCGGAAUGCGUGGUGUAGCGGUGAAAUGCAUAGAUAUCACGCAGAACUCCGAUUGCGAAGGCAGCGCACCGGCGCCCUACUGACGCUCAGGCACGAAAGCGUGGGUAUCGAACAGGAUUAGAUACCCCCGUAUA
This 449-nucleotide ribosomal RNA is filed under the name uncultured bacterium. RNAcentral describes it as "partial 16S ribosomal RNA". It matches the Rfam family "Bacterial small subunit ribosomal RNA", at positions 328 to 794 of the family's 1533-position model. The record is from RNAcentral.